AUGAUGCCCAGAUUGAUCAACACUAUCCGAAAGGCUUUCUUUUUCACAGGGUGCAUCACCUCUUUUCCUGCCACAGAGCGCCGAAGCACCCAGAUGAUGGAAAUGUUGCAGUACAGCAUGACUGCAAAAGCAAAAAGGAUAACUCCACUGAAGAUUUCCGCCACACUCAAGACUCCCAAAAUGGACUUGGUGAGCCCGUGUGCCAGGAUGAGGCCCCAAACCAGCACAGACACGCAGACGCGGGCCAAGCCGUCUCGUGGCUGGAUGGCUCAGUUGGCUGUGUGCAGGACUCGUGCAUGGAAAAACCCUGUACAAUUGAAGACCCUUCACGCUACUUACUAACUAUGUAGCCAAGAGGGGGGCUCAAGUCUGGGUCUCCGUGUGCCAGUCCCCAGCCCGGAUAAAACUCAGGAUUGUCUCAGGAACGGCAUCUAGACUAAAAAUAUUUGGCAAACCACCUGUGUCAAUCAGUGAGAACUGAAUUGCUGUGGCGAACCCUGAAGGAAUAUGCCGAAAGGUAACCAACAGAUCAUGCACCUUUUUCGGCUGAAUAUAGAUAAAAAUGGUUUAUUUAACCUAUCGUGACGAUCAGCAUAUAUAUCGCUUUCCUUUGUCGGUGCAGUCAAGGUCGGUGCCGGCUCAGCUAAGCGCCACGUAACAAAUAGUCAGCUUAUUGUGAAAAAAAGCGAUCUAAACUGAAAAAAUAACAAGAAUAAAGUACUAAAAACUGAUUGAAUAUUUCUUUCGUUUUUUUAGUGACCAUGGUAUAAGCGGGAUAAUGGCCUUCAAAGUGUAUAAUAUCAGAAAUGAAUGCCCUUUGCUGAAGCAACAUAACAUACAUUUUUGAUACCAUGUUAUCAAAACAGAGCUUACUGGUACUAAUGUCCAAAAACAAAAUGUGAUUUGAAAAAAAAAAAAAUCAAAACUUAUGCCAGUUAUGUUGAAAUAAAUCUAUUAGGUUUGUUUCUUUUAUAAAACUAGAAUAUUGCUUCAACUUUAUUCACUUUUUGUCUUCAUUUGAUAAUUUCCCAAAUUUUGCGGUGCUGAAAUGUUUUUUUGCUGUUACAUAAACCAACAAAAUAUCAGCAGCACACCAAGUUUUAUUUUUGAUCCAUCUAUGAGUUGUUUUGAGGCAUUUCAAUACCCAUUGGCAUACAUUAUGGAAUAAUAUGAAUAUCAGGAUCAAGAGAUGUCUAGGUUUUGUUUUUAUCAGCUAUUGGCCUGUAGAAACGGAAAGGAUUUUGCUUUCAAGGCCAAGCUAAAUUACAGAAAAUAUAAAGCUGAAGUAGGUGGAUGCAUAUUUGUAUCAGUAGGGGUUAAGGGGUCAAAUAUUGUUCUUCCUAUUUCCCAUUACUGAAACCUACAGCUGGUAAAUUAAAGAUAUGAUGAUAUCAUAUCUUUAAAAAUAUGAUAAUAGCUUUAAUAAACAUGGUAAAUGAUAUUAUAGAUUCGUAUAUUUAAUAAAUGUAUAUUUGUCAGCCUGCUGUUUUUUCAGUUUCUUCUUCUAGAAAAUUAGAUUCAAACUGGUAGAUGAACUUACGAGAAAGAGUGGUCCCACAUCCUUCAUCCCAUAUGCAAAUCUUACAAAGUAAAAGAUGCGAUCGUCAUGCAGCACUAGUCGGUUGACCAUGUCUAGGGGCGUCAUCAAGCUGAAGGAGGCAUCCAGCAGUGCAAGGUUGAGGAUGAAGAUGUCCGAUGUGGAAGCGUCAUUUUUUCUGGUGAUGAUCUGCCAGAUGACCAGUAUGUUACAUGGCGCUCCCAUUGCGAAGUUGAACACCUUGACCCCGAAGUAGAACACAAACCCAUAAGGGGCCACAGAACAUUCUGGAUGCUCGUACCACGGCAGAGGGGCCUUGAGGUUGGUGGAGUUGGCGUAAACGGUUCUGUUGUACAUUUCAGGACAAAGUUCUGAUGGUGGUGGAAGAAACUGGGACACAGAAGAAGAAAGUUCAGUUCAGUCUGACUUAUAUGCCAUACUGAGUCAGCGUUUGUAUUUCAUAUUUGCAAUUGGUAAUUUGUAGAAAAGUAUCAAUCAUAUCAAAGAUCUCACCUUCGCAGUCCUUUGGCCUACUUUCUGUCAGCGGAUCCCUGGAACCAGCUCCCAAAGACCAGAACGCAACCAAGCAAGUUAUCUGCAGCCUGUUCCAAACAUUUUCUUACCCACACUGUUCUGUUUUCAGAGACUGGAUUGCUUGGACAUACGUGAAGGGUGUGUUGAAAUAGAGUUAAUGAAGCUGAUUAGUGAAGCAAAACUAAAAAGGGGCAAAUGUUAUCUCAUAACCCCGCCUUUAAACCUCUCUUUGUUAAAAAAAAACAUGCUUUAGAAAAGCCCUGUUGUAAUUGGCUUAUUAAAUUGCCAUUGCGUCUGGUUUUUGUUCUCAUAUUCCCAGUUGUAGGGCUCUAAAGAUUUUAUGUUUUUCUCCCAGAGCAGCUGGUCCAUUGUUGUUGGUCCAUUUGUGUCUGGUGCAGUUCAUGCUGGGGUGCAAAAAGCCUGAAAUAAGGUCUUCUCUCAUGGGUGUGAAAUCUGCAGUAGCACGUAAUAUAACUUCACCUCACUGAGGCAGCAAUGUUCUGUAAACAAGUGAUGCAAGGCCAGCAAAUGAGAAAUCUACUGCAAGAUAUGACUGAACUGUUAAGAAACUAAACUCUGUUGGGGAAAAACACUAAAGCACACAGUGUGUUGUUUGUUUCAUUUUGUUUUUGUUGUUAUGUCCUUAAUGUUUGCCAGAACAACUGCACAAUACAGGACAAUGUAGUUUGGAUCGCUUGAACAAAACGUUUCUUUUUUCAAAUAAUGGGAAAAUGCAAAACUGACCACAUUUCUGACAUGUGUGU
Molecule: long non-coding RNA, 2835 nt
Organism: Oryzias sinensis (Chinese medaka)
Lineage: Eukaryota; Metazoa; Chordata; Actinopteri; Beloniformes; Adrianichthyidae
Source: Ensembl